Molecule: ribosomal RNA, 403 nt
Filed under: uncultured bacterium
Lineage: Bacteria
Description: partial 16S ribosomal RNA
Source: RNAcentral
ACUGACAGCCAUGGUUACCGCGGCUGCUGGCACGGAGUUAGCCGGUGCUUCUUCUGUGAGUGAUGUCCUUCCUGCCGGUUAUUGACCCGCAGGCCUUCUUCCUCACUGAAAGUGCUUUACAACCGAAGGCCUUCUUCACACACGCGGCAUGGCUGGAUCAGGGUUGCCCCCAUUGUCCAAUAUUCCCCACUGCUGCCUCCCGUAGGAGUCUGGGCCGUGUCUCAGUCCCAGUGUGGCUGAUCAUCCUCUCAGACCAGCUACGGAUCGUCGCCUUGGUGAGCCGUUACCUCACCAACCAGCUAAUCCGACAUAGGCUCAUCCGAUAGCGCGAGGCCCGAAGGUCCCCCGCUUUCCCCCGAGGGCGUAUGCGGUAUUAGCCUGGGUUUCCCCAGGUUAUCCCCCA